Molecule: long non-coding RNA, 4356 nt
Filed under: Cinara cedri
Lineage: Eukaryota; Metazoa; Arthropoda; Insecta; Hemiptera; Aphididae
Source: RNAcentral
CGAUUACCGGAAAAAAUCGCAAACUCCGUCUUAUUAACAUAAUAUACAUACAUAUAUGUAUAUAUUAUGUACCUAUUGUCAUAAUAUUAUACCCCCGGGUAGUUUCGUUUUUUUCAAUCCGUAUUCGAAAUCUGUACGGGUUCGUCGCCGCGGAUUUGACCGACGGUUUUUUUUCCCCUAGGAUAAUAUUAUAUUCGACUCCGACCUCGAAAAUUACAAAAAAUAAUUAUAAUUAUAUCCACACCUAAAACUUGUUUUCUUUUCUUUUUCUUUUUUUUGAUUUAUUUCAAAUGCAUUAUGAUUGUCUAAAUAAAUCAAUGUCUUAUCAAUCGCUAACCAAAAUCAAAGCCCCCGUGACGGACCGUGUAAAAUAUUAGACGAUUUCGAGCCGUGUUCAAAAUUAUUCGUUUAAACAAAUGGUUCAUGUUUUCCUUUUCGUAGAACGGUUGAAAUUUUAGCUCGCAGUUCUGCAAUCUAUAAUCUAACAAAUUAUUUUAAUGACUAGACGAAACAUCAUUAAUACCAUGCGUUGCAAUCUUUGGGUUAUAAAUCAUUGUAAAUGAGUCGCAAUAAUAUAUUGAUUAUGUCUAUUAUAUAAGAUCGAACGAAUGAUAAUAAAUUUAAUUUUCAAAUUUUCCUAUUGAUAGAAUAUGAAUUUUAUAUUUUGGAUUAUCGAAAAAUAUUUCGUGGUCAUUGACGAAUAUUGUUUGUCUUGAAUCGAAAAAUACGUUUGGUAGUAUAGGUUUAAUCAUUUUUUCGAAUUAUUUUUGACAUUGCUAUAAAUGUGUAAUAUUUAAAUAUUUAUAUUUAUAAGUCUGCAUGAUAAGUUUAGUUAUACAUUUUGUUUGGUUAAAAAUUAAUGAAAAAUAUAUGUAUAAUAUAUGUAUGCAUGUAUAAUCGAAAUUCACUCCGAAUCGUUUUUCGUUGGCAAAAAUUUAUCGUUGGUUACAGUUAUAAAUUAAAUACUCGUAUNNNNNNNNNNNNNNNNNNNNNNNNNNAAUAUUUAAAUAUUUAUAUUUAUAAGUCUGCAUGAUAAGUUUAGUUAUACAUUUUGUUUGGUUAAAAAUUAAUGAAAAAUAUAUGUAUAAUAUAUGUAUGCAUGUAUAAUCGAAAUUCACUCCGAAUCGUUUUUCGUUGGCAAAAAUUUAUCGUUGGUUACAGUUAUAAAUUAAAUACUCGUAUGUAUCCCACCUUCCCAACUACCCAUAUAUAACAGCUGCCGUACCCGUCCCCAGUAUCAGUUCUUUUUUGUAUUGUAUUUUCGACUAAAAUGCAUAAAAAAGGUUUUAAUAAUUAUCCUGUUUAAAUCAGUGGCUCGAUAUUUUUCAUUUUUUUGUACAGGUUAUCUUUAGUAUGCAGAGAGUAAAUAAUAAUUUUUUGGUGUAGUAAUUUUUAGUAUUUUUUUGUUUUUAAUUAUCUAAGAAGAUUUAAAAAUUUCGUCAUCAUGUCCCAUGGCUGUAUGGUCUCUGUUGAAUAAUGUUCUGUGGGUACAUUUCGAGUCUAAUAUUUAAAUCAACUCGGUGAACAUAAUUUGACUUAUAUUUUCUUUAAUUUAUAAAUAAUUUAACAAUUUAACUCAUUAUUAAAUUGGUAGGUAAUUAUCACAUUAAAUUUAUAAGGAAUUUAAAGUUACUAUUAAGUUAGGAACAUAUUCCUAAUUAAUAACCUUUUUAAUAACUUCAAAUACAAAUAUUUUAUAGUAAAUUAGAAGAUAGUGACAGUUAUUCAGGUUCGUUAUCUUGCCCCCGUCAGUUUACCGCAGCAUAUAAUUUUGAGCAGAUUAUUAUUUUUAACUUAGAGUAAAAUAAAAUUUCACAUACCUAAAUUUUAGCAAUAAUUAAUCGUUGCAUACAGAUAUACAUUAAAUUUCCUCUUCCCAAUUUCUUACCAACAACAGUGGCCUACCCAUCGUACGAAGUAUGCCCGUUUGUUUUCUAAUAUACAUUUUCUUGAAAAAAAAAUUGUUGUAAUUUACUACCUACCUAUCGUAUUUCUUAAACCUAACCUAAACGAAUACAAGUAUUAAUUAGGAAUAUCUUUAUUUUGAAUUUAUGAAAAUUUGAAUUUGCUGUUUGGUGAAAUGUAACUUAAUGUAUACAUAUUUACAUAUAAAAUUAACUUUCAGUUAAUUCGCUUGACAUUAGUUAUAAUUCUAACUCAUUAAUCAACUUACUUAAUUUCUAUAAUUUAAUGUUGACUUGUAUAGUUUUAUCUCGUUGCUAUCCGGUCUAUAAUGGAGUAGUUUUAACGAAUUCGAUGAAAAUAGGUCGCCAACUAUUAUGUAUAAGAAAUUCCGAGGAUUUCCAAUUUCAUAUGAUUUUAUGAUGAAAAAUUUAAGUGUUAAUUUAUUAAGCUGUAUACAUGUAUAACAAGUACAGAGGUCAUCCUUGAGAUAAAAAAAAAAACAUAAAAAAAAAAAAAAAAAAAAAAAAAACAAAACAAAAUAAUCAGAAACUCACAACACUGUACGUGUAACGUAGUCUAUAUAUUAUACUAUUUUAACAUACUGAAGCGACGGCAAACAUUUAGGGGAAAAAUCGCUCGAGACCCUUGCACGAAUUAUCCGCGUCCUUAUUUCCACGGUGGAUUUCUUAUGACUGCAAUAUUGCAAUUAUAAGUAAAUAGGUGUAGAUGGGUAGGCGCACAUUGUGCGUAUACAGUUUCGCGUGAUUGACACGUGUGAUUUUCGCUUAAUUUUCCGGCAGAGAGACGAUAAAAAAAAUGCGGAAUGUACACUGGCCACUAUAUAUUAUUAUCCAAAUGCGAAAUAAAAAGGUACACAUUGUGCAUCUACUUCGAGCGAACGCCACGCCCCUAUUCGUUGUCCUUGGCUUACAUAAUUGAUAAUAAUUAAACGAGAUACUAUACGCAUUAUGGCAAAAUAAUAUUAUUGUUUUCUGUAUGUACGAUUACGUUCCUUAACAGUUACCUCAUUAUGGGUAGUGUGCGUGUGUAUUAGUAUUACCUGUAUUAAGUAUAACAUUAACAUUAUUUGAUUUGGCCUAUUCAACGAGCGCGCGUUGGUGUUUUUUUUUUUUGCGAUAAUCGGUAUUUUACUGAAAAACACUACAACACGUACGACAUUUGAUAAGAAAAAUAAAAAAAAAAAAUAGCCGAUAUUCUCAAUUGGUGUGCCACUGUUUUACGUAUAGAGGAAGGUAAGAUACACGGUUAUUAAAUUUUUUAAUUGUCUGUACGCAAUGGUAGAAUAUCUAAAAUUGUCACAUUUUUAUCGCGGUAAAUUUGUCCGUUUCGGGGAUCAUAAAAUGAUCUCCUCGACUAUAGAUCUAAACUUUUACAAAAAAAGCCUGCACGUAGAAAAGCUGUUCACAGAUAGGAAAAAUAGAAGACCACUCGCCCCACUCAGAAUAGUAUAACAUGUGAAUGGGUUUUGGCGCAACUGCGGGUCGUGUACGGCAGUAAUAUGUACGCCAACAUAUUAUUUUUACUAUGUUCGUAAUGAAAAAAUAAAAAAAAAUUGCGAUUAAACAGUGUAAUUAACAUGAUAUUAAAUUCGCUCGCACAGACAAUAAUUACGAGUUCGUAGGCCAAUUGAUUCGCACGGUGUACAGUAUAUUUAUUACGUACACAAAUCGUCAACUUUUUAAACGACGCAGGCGGAAUGCGACGUGUUAUACCGUAGACGUAUAUUGCAUUAUACCUAAUCUCCUUACCCGACACUAAAAUCGUGACUAAUAUACGAAAAACGCAUUAAAAAAUAUGUACGUUAUAUUAUUAGGCAUGUACUAGGUAUAUUUCCCGCGCUUCGUUCCCUUAUGACAACUAUACCUAUACGUGUAUACAAUAUUAUAACAUAUGUAUAUUUUUAAAUCUGUUUAAUUUCCGUACUGUGAUGCGUCAUGAUAUAUUAUUAUUCCGGUUGUCAUUUAUCAAGCACCAUAAUAAUUGAUAUAUUAUGUAAACUAUCUAUUUCAGUUUAUCGAGUACUUAUUGAGAGGUGGCACGAACGUGGUUCCGACAGUAGAAAAAUGAGAAAAAAUAUAGACCGAGAUGGUUCGGGUAAGUCAUGAGCAAGUCGUGGCGUUCAAAUAAUUUCGUCAUGGGGGUGGAAGAACAUGCCGUACACUACCGUAUUUCCUACGUUUUUUCCGUAAUUAUUUGGGAAAGUUAUAUCGGAAAAUCGAACAAAGACUUUCUCACUCACAAACUUAGACAAAGAUUUCUGAUAGAAAAAUAAAAUCUUAAACAUUUCAAAUAAUGGAAUCGUUGUGGCGUAAUUUGAAGAAAAAAAAAAUCGUAUUUUCCGUCUAUUUUGUUUUGGUUUUUCCCAGUUAUCAUGAAAACUAGAUAUCAAACAAUUGUAAUUAUAACACUAAAAGAAAUGUUGAAUAAAAA